GGAAUCGACGGACCCUUCGGGGGGAAGUCGAUGGAAUGAGCGGCGGACGGGUGAGUAACACGUAAAGAACCUGCCCUCAGGUCUGGGAUAACCACGAGAAAUCGGGGCUAAUACCGGAUGGGUCAUCGGACCGCAUGGUCCGAGGAUGAAAGGCGCUUCGGCGUCGCCUGGGGAUGGCUUUGCGGUGCAUUAGCUAGUUGGUGGGGUAAUGGCCCACCAAGGCGACGAUGCAUAGCCGACCUGAGAGGGUGAUCGGCCACACUGGGACUGAGACACGGCCCAGACUCCUACGGGAGGCAGCAGUAGGGAAUCUUCCACAAUGGACGAAAGUCUGAUGGAGCAACGCCGCGUGAACGAUGAAGGCCUUCGGGUCGUAAAGUUCUGUUGUAAGGGAAGAACAAGUGCCGCAGGCAAUGGCGGCACCUUGACGGUACCUUGCGAGAAAGCCACGGCUAACUACGUGCCAGCAGCCGCGGUAAUACGUAGGUGGCAAGCGUUGUCCGGAAUUAUUGGGCGUAAAGCGCGCGCAGGCGGCCUCUUAAGUCUGAUGUGAAAGCCCCCGGCUCAACCGGGGAGGGCCAUUGGAAACUGGG
This 593-nucleotide ribosomal RNA is filed under the name Exiguobacterium sp. RNAcentral's name for it is "bacterial SSU rRNA". It matches the Rfam family "Bacterial small subunit ribosomal RNA", at positions 64 to 637 of the family's 1533-position model. Lineage: Bacteria; Bacillati; Bacillota; Bacilli; Caryophanales. The record is from RNAcentral.